UGAGAAAAGGGAACUACCGCUGGUAUUUUUCUCAUCUGUUUGCCUGAUUAAAAGGGCGGCAAAAUGGGUAGAUACGAGAGGAAGGUCCGGACACCAUAAGACAGUCGUAGCGGGUAACGCCCGUCCACCGCGAGGUGAGGACAAGUGCAACAGAAAGAAUGUAUAGGCAACAAAACUUUUUUCUCCUCUUUGGUCUCCUUUUGGUUUGGUUUUGUCUUUUUGAAUGAAGUUUGGUUGUGCUGUAGUGAAAUCAGGUAAACUCUACGAGGUGCAAGCCCGUGUAGGCCAACGCUAUCAGGGUAUGUCUUCCCGAAGUUGGCGGGUAGGGUGCUUGAGGCCAGCAGCAAUGUUGGUCCUAGAGAAAUGGUGGUUGAAAACAGAAUCCGGCCUACUCCUUUUCUCGGUCU
This 407-nucleotide RNase P RNA is filed under the name Oligoflexia bacterium. Its description in RNAcentral is "RNase P RNA component class A". It matches the Rfam family "Bacterial RNase P class A". Rfam says of the family: Ribonuclease P (RNase P) is a ubiquitous endoribonuclease, found in archaea, bacteria and eukarya as well as chloroplasts and mitochondria. Its best characterised activity is the generation of mature 5'-ends of tRNAs by cleaving the 5'-leader elements of precursor-tRNAs. Cellular RNase Ps are ribonucleoproteins. The record is from RNAcentral. Lineage: Bacteria; Pseudomonadati; Bdellovibrionota; Oligoflexia.